GCCUUCGUGGUGUAAUGGUAGCACACUCGGCUCGUAUUCGCGAAAUUCAAGUUCAAGUCCCGGCGAGGGAA
This 71-nucleotide transfer RNA is filed under the name Stegodyphus mimosarum. It matches the Rfam family "tRNA". Rfam says of the family: Transfer RNA (tRNA) molecules are approximately 80 nucleotides in length. Their secondary structure includes four short double-helical elements and three loops (D, anti-codon, and T loops). The record is from Rfam by way of RNAcentral. Lineage: Eukaryota; Metazoa; Arthropoda; Arachnida; Araneae; Eresidae.